This 228-nucleotide long non-coding RNA is filed under the name Lathyrus oleraceus (garden pea). Its description in RNAcentral is "Pisum sativum (pea) long non-coding RNA (PSAT_LNC001692)". Lineage: Eukaryota; Viridiplantae; Streptophyta; Magnoliopsida; Fabales; Fabaceae. The record is from RNAcentral.
ACAGUCUAGAAAAGACUCCAUAAGGAGAAGAUUUAAUGGGGAAAAUGCUGUGCAGGGGAAAAUCUCUAAGGUGGACUUUUUAGGGUAACCUUUACUUGAGGAGAAAAUUCAGCAGACUCACUGAGGAUCGGUAAUGAGAAGGCAUGCAGGAUAGAAACUCACACGGAGAAAUACCACUUGCUUGGCUGAGGAUUGGCCUAGGCUUGCAUGAAAGGUCCCAGAUCUUGG